Molecule: ribosomal RNA, 1017 nt
Filed under: uncultured organism
Description: bacterial SSU rRNA
Rfam family: Bacterial small subunit ribosomal RNA
Source: RNAcentral
GAGGAAUAUUGGUCAAUGGGCGAGAGCCUGAACCAGCCAAGUAGCGUGAAGGAUGACUGCCCUAUGGGUUGUAAACUUCUUUUAUAAAGGAAUAAAGUCGGGUAUGGAUACCCGUUUGCAUGUACUUUAUGAAUAAGGAUCGGCUAACUCCGUGCCAGCAGCCGCGGUAAUACGGAGGAUCCGAGCGUUAUCCGGAUUUAUUGGGUUUAAAGGGAGCGUAGAUGGAUGUUUAAGUCAGUUGUGAAAGUUUGCGGCUCAACCGUAAAAUUGCAGUUGAUACUGGAUAUCUUGAGUGCAGUUGAGGCAGGCGGAAUUCGUGGUGUAGCGGUGAAAUGCUUAGAUAUCACGAAGAACUCCGAUUGCGAAGGCAGCCUGCUAAGCUGCAACUGACAUUGAGGCUCGAAAGUGUGGGUAUCAAACAGGAUUAGAUACCCUGGUAGUCCACACGGUAAACGAUGAAUACUCGCUGUUUGCGAUAUACAGCAAGCGGCCAAGCGAAAGCGUUAAGUAUUCCACCUGGGGAGUACGCCGGCAACGGUGAAACUCAAAGGAAUUGACGGGGGCCCGCACAAGCGGAGGAACAUGUGGUUUAAUUCGAUGAUACGCGAGGAACCUUACCCGGGCUUAAAUUGCAGAUGAAUUACGGUGAAAGCCGUAAGCCGCAAGGCAUCUGUGAAGGUGCUGCAUGGUUGUCGUCAGCUCGUGCCGUGAGGUGUCGGCUUAAGUGCCAUAACGAGCGCAACCCUUGUUGUCAGUUACUAACAGGUUCCGCUGAGGACUCUGACAAGACUGCCAUCGUAAGAUGUGAGGAAGGUGGGGAUGACGUCAAAUCAGCACGGCCCUUACGUCCGGGGCUACACACGUGUUACAAUGGGGGGUACAGAGGGCCGCUACCACGCGAGUGGAUGCCAAUCCCAAAAACCUCUCUCAGUUCGGACUGGAGUCUGCAACCCGACUCCACGAAGCUGGAUUCGCUAGUAAUCGCGCAUCAGCCACGGCGCGGUGAAUACGUUCCCG